CAGCCGCCGCGGGAAUACGAGGGGGGCAAGCGUUGUUCGGAAUUAUUGGGCGUAAAGGGCGCGUAGGCGGUUUGGCAAGUUUCGUGUGAAAUCUUCGGGCUCAACUCGAAGUCUGCACGGAAAACUGCCGGGCUUGAGUAUGGGAGAGGUGAGUGGAAUUUCCGGUGUAGCGGUGAAAUGCGUAGAUAUCGGAAGGAACACCUGUGGCGAAAGCGGCUCACUGGACCAUAACUGACGCUGAUGCACGAAAGCUAGGGGAGCAAACAGGAUUAGAUACCCCGGUAGUCCCUGUCUCUUAUAC
RNAcentral lists this ribosomal RNA (301 nucleotides) under uncultured bacterium. RNAcentral describes it as "partial 16S ribosomal RNA". It matches the Rfam family "Bacterial small subunit ribosomal RNA", at positions 509 to 807 of the family's 1533-position model. The record is from RNAcentral.